AUGAGGCGUAAUAGUUAGUAUCAUUGUUUCUUCUUUUCCUUUUUGCGAAAAGUAUCCCUUGUGCUCUUCUUUCAAUUGUUGCUAAUGUUUCAGUCCUUCAUUGGCUUGUGUUUUCACUCUUUUAAUCUUUCUUGUUAGAACAACUAUAUAUCUUUGUGGUCUUGGCAAUGAUGUCAUAUUGUCAACUAUGCAGGGAUUUGAAAUUAUCAACCUGAUUAUUGUUGUGAAGCGCUGCCUACAGGUUAGGAAAAAUUGGCUCAUUCAAGUCUUACAAUUUAAUUAGUUGGAUUCUUUUUUUCCUUCUAAGGAAACAUUUUCUAUCUUUUAAAGUUUUAAAAUUAUAUUAGUAUAUUAUUAAUUGUUUAGAUAUUCUGCGGGCAUCUCUUGGGCUUGCAAAAGAUCUUAAUGCUAUUUGAUUGCACUUAGAGGGACUCAUGAAAGCAGGUUUUGCCUAUACUGGUGCUUCAUAUUUUUAUCAAUUGUAUGAUUACAUGUUUUACCUCAACUUUGAUGCUUGAAUUAAAUCGUUUCAGUACUAUCUUCUUCUAUGAAAGAGUAAAAACACGAAAUUGGUUUCACUCCUUGCCUUAAUAUGCAUCAUCUUUAUGAUGCCCGAGGGCUUAAGUUCCGCAGUGCUGCCAAAACUUAGUCAAGUGUUUCAAGUAUGAAACAUAAAGGAAAAUUAUAUGGGAUUAUAAAAAAUAAAUGACUAAUGCCAUUAAUAAAAAUAAACUAAUUUAUUUAAAACAGAAUCAUGGAUUCAAUAAAUUUUGACAUAAAACAAAAAAUACUUCAAUGAUAAUCACUUAAAUACACAAGCAAAAGAAAAAAAAUCCCAUCAACUUAUUUUCACGCUGGAUCUGGUUUAGGAUCAUUCCAACACUAUCCAACAAUAAAGUUUCCAGAGUAACUUUAAUGCUUGCAGCAUCAUUUCUUUCCUUCCACUCAUCAAUUAUUGCCUUUAGAGCUACGCCAACAAUCGAAUUUGUGCUCUUUAGGUUCAAUCCUCACUUUGGACAAACAAUUUCCUCAGUAUUCUCAAACUAACAAACCAUUUGAGAAUUGUUGUCCUCUUAUAUGUUAUUCCACUUUCUAUUGUUAUUGGAUCAUUCAUAAUCUUUUAUAUCAACGGACAGAAGAAUGUAUCAUAUAUGAGCUCCACGUAUUGAGCCAUCUGUGGUAAACUGACAAAGGGACCAGCACUCCAACUUUCAUAGUCAUUUUUGUCUAAACUCUUCCUGCUUUCUAAAUUACCUGAUAACUGUUAUUCACUACAUAAAUUUAAACAUCACUGGAAUAUAAAUUUGUGUCCAUUUGUUCCCUAUCUCACCCUCGUAUGUCCACAGAAAACAAUUAAAGUUGCUCUUUUAACUCUAGAAUUCAAGUUUCAUUAACUACAACAUUUGAACUUUGGAGAGAAUCAAGUUAUGUGUAAAUUGAUUCCUAAUUGCUAUUUUUAGCAUUUAAUUUUCUGGCUGCCUACCAUGCAUUUUUUUUUUCUUUUUUGGCUAAUGUUGCACCAUUGCUUUAUGACAAUUAUUCUUUGUCUGUUAGCUUUUUGGUCAUCUAUCAUGGAAUUGAUUUUUUUUUUUUCCAUUAGUAAUCUCUAAAAAAAUAAAAAAAAUCCCAUUUUGUUGAUCACUUUUUAAGAUUUAGCUGUAAAUCGUAAGUGAUAGGUUUGCUAUGAUAGUACUUGUGGUUAAUUUGGAUAUAUCUUUACUCAUGCUUUUUAAUAUUUGGCUUUAAAUUUAUGAGCAAUGAGUUUUUUUCAGCUGGAUUAUCAUAAGAUUUUUCUUUGGGAUGUUAUAUUUUAUGCAAGCAUGUCUUGUUUCCAAGGCUUGCUCCUUCCUAAAGCUGCUUCACAGUUUCUGCAUUUGGGUACAUGGUUUGUAAUUUGGCCAAUCCACCUGUUAUUGUCUAAAUACUUUGGCAUCUUUCGUGUAGUUCUCUACUAAUAAUACGACACAUGUUUCUACUGCAUUUUAUAACUCACAUUGACUGUCUUACGGGGCUUCAUAUGAGCUCUUGCAGUUGGGAGCUUCUGUACUUCAUCUUGAAGAUCAUAUUGCUAGUUGUUGUGAUUGCCCCCAUUCCAUUUGGAUUGGGUUGUUUCAGUUUGGAGUAGAUUGUAGCAGGGGCUUUUCACGCAGAAGAUAAUGUUUUUAUUGGGAAUAGUAUUUGUUGACCUCGCAAAUUGGACCCUCCACGUGGUCAACCGAUAGCUACUCCACGUAUUCUUCUCUACGCUCAGUCAACGCACGGUCAGAUGCACACGACCGGAACCAGCGAGGGUGGUGGCGACCGCAUACACUCCGACGAUCAAGUUAGCCUCAGGUGAUCGGAACAAUACCUAGGUUGUGCAAAAUAGUGGGGAUGAGAAUAUAUAUUUGCUUGUUAUGGAAAGAUAUGUUGUAAGAGUUUCAUUACCUUUACCUCUUGUCAAACCUUGGGUAUUUAUAGGUGAGGAGAAUCGUUGGAUGUGGGACACGUGUAUGCAUCUGACGGUGUGAGGCGUUUGCUCAUAGGCUUCAAUCAGUCGCGUCUAUAGAGUGGGCGGGUAAUUACUUCUCCCGAGUUGAGUUGACAUAAAGUUGAUACAUCACAUCAACUAGGCUCAUGGAGAUGUCCAAUCAAUUAAACCUUGGGGGCAGAAAGGACCUUGACAUAGAUCUUUUUCUGAAAUUGGCGGCAGAUCCUCUGAUAGAGAGCCUCAAAAUGUAGUGCGCCUCAACUUCAGGGGCUAGGACGCUUCGAUCGAUUCAGUAAAUUGUCUGUAUCUCGUAGUGCAUUAGCAGAUCAACAACAUUGGUGGUGGUGUUACUUCGGAACCACUUCGGAUGGGUGUUGAACACCUCGUAUUAUAACUCCAAGGUUAGAAAUCGGACAGAGAGAUCAGACCCCAGUAGAAUAAAGUUAAUUAAUUUUUGUGGUGGCUUCGACCUCUUUUGUAAUCCAAUUCCAAAUGAAUGAAAUGAAUUUUUUUUGUUAAGUAUUGUUGCUUCUGCUUUUCUAUUGUGUUGAACCGUUUACAUUUGAGUAUAUGAAUGACAAUCACUUAAGUAAACAUGAUGCGCCAUUUACCAAUAAUCGGUUAAUAACAGAAGAUCGGACUAAUUAACAUAUUGAAGAGCUGAGGUAACAAUUUACUAACCGAUGUGACAAAGAACUAAAGUAUCAUUACUUAGAGAAGUUACACCACCCUUCACUAAGGGAUUUUUAGCACUUAGUAAGAUAGAGAAGUUACAAAUGAGAUCGGAUCAUGACAUAUUCAUUAGACAUUGAGAUUGGAUCGGAACACAAGUUCAUCACUGAUCGUACUUCCUCAAGUGUUCGAUGUUCCAUUGAUGAGGGAGUGCUUUCCCUGCCAUGUCUUCAAUUUCAAAAGUGCCAAGUCGGGAUUCCCUAAGGAUGCAGCAAGGACCCUCCCAGUUCGAUCCCAACACUCCGGACCCGGUUGGCUUUGAUGAUUGGAAGACCCUUUUUAGGACGAGGUCCCCCAGACGAAGAGUCCGAUUUCUGACCUUGAAGUUAUAAUAGCGGGUCAUCUUUAUAUGAUACUUUGUCAAGUUCACCUGGGAGGCAUCCCUCCUUUUUUCAAGGAGGUGAAGUUCGUUCAUUCGAGCCUCGUCGUUAUUGAUCUCAUUGAAGUGUAUUUGACGGUACGAUAGGACUCCUACCUCAACCGGGCUCAUGGCCUCGGCUCCGUAGGUCAUUGAGAAUGGUGUCUCCCCUGCUGCAGUUCGGCUAGUUGUUCUAAUGGCCCAGAGGGCGUGGGGAAGCUCAUCGACCCAAGCCCCCUUCGAGAUGUCAAGCUUCAUUUUCAAGGUAUGCUUGAUUGUUUUGUUUACUGCUUCAACUUGCUCAUUUGCUUGUGGGUGAUGAGGCGUUGAGAAAUCCUUCUUUAUGCCCAGUUCGUCGCAUAAGUCUCGCAUUUUCUUGUUGUCGAACUGUUCCCGUUGUCGGAUACUAAGGAGUGGGGAAUGCCGAACCUAUAAACCUAUAAACGAUAUUCUUCCAGACGAAUUUUGUAGUAUUUGCCUCGGUGAUCUCGGCAAGAGGUUCAGCUUUGAUCCACUUGGUAAAAUAGUCGAUGGUGACAAUGGCAAAAGUCGCGCUUCCUCUUCCUUUUGGGAGUGGGCCAAUGAAGUUGAUGCCCUAUUUGGCGAACGGCUAAGGGCCGGUCACUACGGAGAGGCUCUGAGAAGGUUGGCUUUGAAUAUUUGAGAAGCGUUGGCACUUGUCACAUUUCUGGACAAACUGGCAAGUAUCCCUUUCAGGGUCGCCCAAAAGUAGCCUUACCGGAGUACUUUGUGUGCCGGAGCCGUUCCUCCGGGGUGAUUCCCACAGAUUCCCUCAUGGAUUUCCCUGAGUAUAUACAUUCCCUCUUUGCCUCCUACACAUCGGAGAAGUGGCGAGGCGAAGCCUCUUUUGUAGAGGACAUUUUCUUGUAGGACGAAAUGUGCAGCCCUUCUUCUUAACUUCCUUGCCUCGCUUCUAGAAGCUGGUAGUGAUUGGUUCUUAAGAUAGGCGAUGAUGGAUUGCAUCCAUAACGGGGUGCCUUCUAUCCAUAGCAUCUCUUCACCUCCGGAAAUGGAGGGCUUCGAUAAGUGUUCAAUGGGGACAACCUUUAGUAGCUCUGAAUUCUUGCUGCUGGCCAAUUUUGACAGGGCGUCUGCAUGAGUAUUCUCUAGGCGUGGGACUUGAAUCAGCUCGAACCUUUCAAAAUGAGGAACUAGGUCCAGAACCAAUUUCAAGUAUGCAACCAUGCUACUGUCUUUGGCUGCGAAGUUUCCAUUGACCUGACUCACUACAAGUUGAGAAUUGCUGCUUGUUAGAAGCCCUCUAACCUGCAUUUCCUUCGCCAGUCUAAGGCCUGCUAGAAGGGCCUCAUAUUCAGCAGCGUUGUUCGAGGCUUUGAAGCCAAACCUUACUGCGCAAUUUAGUUUGUGGCCUUCGGGCUUUCCAAGUCGAUCCCUGCCUCAGAGCCAACCUCUCCUGAGGAUUCAUCUACGAACAGUUUUCACGUUGGGGGCUUGGCUGGUUCCAUUGUCACCUCCAUUUCUGGGGUUUUGGCAAAUUCAGCCACAAAAUCUACAAAGGCCUGAUCCUUGAUGGCAUGUCGAGGUCGGAAUAGUAGGUCGAACUCACUGAGCUUGAUUGUCCAUUUUAGCAGGCGUCCUGAUGCGUCUGUUCUCUGCAGCACUUGCUUCAAUGGGAAGUUGGUGAGAACUUCAAUUGAGUGGGCCUGGAAGUAUGGCCUCAGUUUCCUUGAGGCUGUGACGAGGGCAAGUGCCAGUUUCUCCAUGUCUGGGUAGCGUGUUUCAGCUAGGAGGAGUGCUUUACUGACAUAGUAUACCGGCAACUGGUGCCCAUUCUCUUCUCUGACUAGGACUGCAUUGACCGCCUCGUCUGAGACCGCCAAGUACAGGAGUAGUGAUUCUUCUGGUUGAGAUUUGGACAACAGGGGCACCUCUCCUAAGUGCUUCUUCUGCGCUUGGAAGGCUUCUUCGCACUCAUAAGUCUAUUGGAACUUCUUUCCUUGUUUCAGCACAUUGAAGAAGGGCAAGAUCUUAUCUGUAGCUCUGGAGAUGAAGCGACUGAGAGCGGCUAUCCGACCAUUGAGGCUUUGGACCUCCUUUGGUUUUUGAGGUGACCUCAUUUCAAGCAAGGUCAUUAUCUUCACUGGGUUUGCUUCGAUUCUUCUUUGGUUUACAAUAUAUCCCAAAAAUUGACCCGAAGCCACUCCAAAGGUGCACUUGAGGGGAUUUAACUUCAUUUUAUAUUUUCUAAGUAUCUAAAAGGUUUGGUCGAGAUGACUUACGUGUUCGAUGGCCUGAAGGCUUUUGACUAGCAUAUUGUCCACGUAGACCUUCAUGGUUUUGUCAAUGAGUUCGGCAAAUAUCAUGUUGACUAGCCUCUGAUAUGUAGCUCUAGCAUUUUUCAAUCCGAAGGGCAUGACUUUGUAGCAGUACGGUCCUCUGUCUGUGAUGAAUGAUGUAGCCUCCUCAUCAGGUCGGAACAUGGGUAUCUGGUUAUACCUUGAGUAUGCAUCCACGAAGCUCAAGAGUUCAUGUCCGACGGUGGAAUCCACAAGUUGGUCUAUCCUUGGAAGUGGGAAACUGUCUUUAGGGCAUGGCUUAUUUAAAUUUGUGAAGUCUACGCACACCUUUUACUUUUCGCUGGGCUUCUUCACCAGGACCGGGUUGGAUAUCCACUUCGAAUAGAUGGCUUCUCUGAUGUAGCUGCUGCGGCUAAGUUGGUGUACUUCGUCUUUCAGCGCCUCAUACCGUUCUGGGUUGAGGGCACGUCUUUUUUGCCUCUGUGGGGCAUCGGAAGAGUUGAUGUUAAGAUGAUGGCAACUGAUCCUUGGAUCUAUUCCCACCACGUCUUCAAUCUUCCAAGCGAAGACAUCCAAGUUCUUUUACAGGAAGCUCACCAUUUCUUUUUUUGCUUCGGGGGACAGUGCCUUUCCUAUUAGCAGGACCUGAUUGGGGUCCUCUGGGUUGGCGAAAAAUGUUUCAAGUUCUUGCAUUGGGGUUGCAUUUAGCUCGAAGUCAAUGAUCCGGGGAUCUAAUUCAUCAAGAGGGUGCCCUUCUUCAGAGGCCUCUUCCAUGUCGACGUCUUCCUCCUUUUCGAAGGUAUGCCCUUGUUCAGGGGCGUCGAGCAUUUUCACGUCCAAAUUGAGUUCACUGACAACUUCAAUUAUGAUCACGUUAACAGUUCGGGGCUCCAAUUUUCGCAGAGAGUUUAAGUAAUAUGUCCUGGAGCCCAUCUGAUCGCACCGUACCGUGGCAAUCCCAUGUUCAGUUUGGAAUUUCAUGCACAAGUAGUGGAUGGAGGUGAUAGCCCAAAGAUCUUUUAAGGCGGGUCUGCCCAAUACUCCAUGGUAGGCUAAUUUGUGGUCUACCACUAAGAAUUUCAUGAAGUGUUGGGCCACUAGAGGAGCUGAACCCAUCUCGAUAGGCAGAGUAAUCCGCCCUCGUGGGACGAUGCUGUCUCCAGUAAAUCCGAACAGUGGAUCGGUCAUGGGGAUCAACCCAUGUUCAAUUUGCAUCUUGUCGAAGGUGGAGCCGAACAGUAUAUUCACCGAACUGCCAUUGUCGACGAGCAUGCGUUUGAGCCCGUUUCUUGCCACUACGGCUCUUACAACCAAUGCGUCACAAUGGGAGUGGUGAACUCCUUGCGUAUCUUUCUGGGAGAAGGUGAUUGGGGCCAUCCUAUUGGCCUCUUGGGACUCGUUGACAAUGUAGGUGAGCAUUGGUGGGUCCUUUGCUUCCCUUGUGUAAUUCCUUUGGGUGUUCCUGGUGUUGCCACCGAUAUGAGGUCCCCCAAUGAUCAUGUCGAUCUCCCUGAUGAUUUGGCCUCCAGAAAAUGGGGCCUGAUCUCUCUGUUUGGACUCUCUUCGGUCCCUUGAUUCUCUUCUCUGAGGUGAUUGCUCUCUAUGCCACUGCUCUCUAUGCCUUCUCUUUCCCCUAUUCGAGGAGGCGGAUCUAUGAGGAUAUUCGUUCCUCCUGGAGGGAUGUGGGUUGCUCCGAUUCGGGCGUCGAGGAGCGUCUCUGCACUCGUUGGUGUCAUGCCCAUGGAGUUGGUAGAAAGUGCAAAACCUUGCCCUUUCCAAGGGCCUGUUUGACCACUUCUUCUUCUUCUUUUUAUUACUAUCAGUUCUUCCAGAUGGCCCUGCUACGCCAAGGAAAUUCUCGUAUGCCAACACCGGCACUGCAUUUAGAGUGGCGGAAGCCAGUGCCUGUCCGGAGGUGGGAGCUAUUGUAUUACCUGCUUGAGUCCAUUGUUGAGUGACAAGGUGUGCUGCGGGUCCUCGACCUACCUGCCUUUGAGGCGGAGGGAGUCCCUGCACGGCACGAUUUCAGUGAUCAAUCAUCUAUUCACUGACGAUCUCAACUCUCAUCAUUUCUACCAGUUCGUCAUAAGUGGUGGGAUUUUUGCUGCGCACAUCCCUCCAGAAUAAAGUGUUCAUGUUGAGGCCGUCUUUCAAGGCCGAAAGGGCUUCUCUGUCAGUGACGUGCUUGCAAUACGUGAUUUCGUCUGUAAACCUGGCGAGAUAGUUUUUCAGCGUCUCUCCAGGGGCCUGCCUCAUAUCUUACAGGGGUUGCACCGGGGUCUUUCCUCUGCGUGAGAGGUACUGGUUCAAGAAUGCCUUCUUCAAAUUCGGCCUGCUCCUAAUGCUCAGGGGAGGAAGUCUGUUGUACCACACUUCAGCAGCUCCACCUAGGGUUAAGUGGAAGGCUCUGCACUUCAAAGUAGGCGAGGCUCCCCUGAGGCUCAUCUAUGUCAUGUAGUUGGUGAGGUGCUUCUUCGGGUCCCCCUUUUCUUCAUACUUGGGGAUCUUGAGGGGCAUGAAAUUUGCAGGCAUUGGUAAACAUCGGAUUUCCUUUGAGAAAGGGAGGUUAUCAUCGUCGUCGUCAAUUUCAUAGGAUCGACAAUGCCCAUCUGACUCUUCAUCAUCUUGAGUGUUCUGGGGAGGUGGAGGUGCUUUUCCUCGACUGGCCCAAUCAACUAAGUCCCUUCUCUUCUUCCUAUUUCUAGGAGGAGGAGGUGCUUGUUCUUGCUCCUGUUCUUGUCGAACUGAUCUUCGCACUGAGCGGACCCUAUUACUAGGGUCCUGCCCUAUUCGGUCGAAGACGCUGACUGACCUUUGUGCUUUAUAUUCUUGAGGGAAAUUGUCCCCCAAUUGUGGUUCUGAUGGCUAGCUCCCUUACACAUUGGAUGUGGCUUCCGCACCCACUUCUCUUUCAAGGGGGUGUUUUCUGUGCUGACUCACGUGGUCUCGGGAACGAGAUGCAGAGGCUUCCUGAAUUGGGUAAGAUCCUUGGGGCAUUUGAGAGCUCUGGUGACCUCGGGCUUGCAUGAGAAGUUCAUGCAUCGCCAUAUUCUGGGCUGCGAUGUCUUUCAUGUCCGCAGCUAUUUGAGUCAUUCCUUUAGUGAGCAUGACUGUUCUUUCAUCUCGACGACGUCGGUGAUGGGGUCUCUGGUGAGUGACAUUGUUACGGAGCACCUCUUCUUCAGAGGCCUCUCUCAUAGGGUUCUCGUCUUCAUGGUUGUAACUUAUCUUAUCUUUUUUUUCAAGGGUGAUAAGAACUUGAAUUAUUACUCGACUUUGCUCUUUUUCAAGAACGUGCCCUUUUCAGGGUAAGCCACUAGUUUUUCGGUGGUUUCUCCAGUGGAGAAUGCAGAACUUUGGACGGGAAGUUUCCCACAGACGGCGGCAAUCUGUUGACCUCGCAAAUUGGACCCUCCACAUGGCCAACCGAUAGCUACUCCACGUAUUCCUCUCUGCGCACAGUGAACGCACGGUCAGAUGCACAUGGUCGGAACCAGGGGGUAGUGGCGGCCGCAUACACUUCGACGGUCAAGUUAGCUUUAGGUGAGCGGAACAAUACCUAGGUUGUGCAAAAUAGUGGGGAGGAGAAUAUAUAUUUGCUUGUUAUGGAAACCUAUGUUGUAAGAGUUUCAUUACCUUUGCCUCUUGUUAAACCUUGGGUAUUUAUAGGUGAUGAGAGCAGUUGGAUGUGGGAAACGUGUAUGCAUCUGAUAGUGUGAGGUGUUUGCUCAUAGGCGUCAAUCAGUUGCGUCUAUAGAAUGGGCGGAUAAUUACUUCUCCCGAGUUGAGUUGACAUAAAGUUGAUACGUUACAUCAACUAGGCUCAUGGAGACGUCAAAUCAAUUAAACCUUGGGGGCAGAAAGGAUCUUGACAUAGAUUUCUUUUUGAAAUUGACGGCGGAUUCUCUGACAAAGAGCCUCGGAAUGUAGUGCGCCUCGGCUUCAGGGGCGAGGACGCUUCGGUCGGUUCAGUAGAUUGUCUGUGCCUCGCAGUGCGUUAGCAGAUUGACAACAUUGGUGGUGGCGUCACUUCGGAACCACUUCGAAUGGGUGUUAAACACCUCGUAUAACGUGAUGAUAGACUUUUCGAAGUGGUUCAGAUAGGAGCGUAACAAUAUUGAUUGGAGAGACACUUUUAAAAGAGCAUACAAAGGUAAUAAUGAACUAUGUUGCUAGUUAACCAAACAAUUUCAAAUUGCUGACAACCAUCAAUAUAUUCAUUGACAUUUGAUGAGUUUCAGAGCAACAUGGGAAAUUUUGUAAAGUUAGGUCAAUGAACAAGGACGACUUGCUAAAAAAUAUUUGGAGUGCAGAAAACUAUGGGAUCCAAUAAUGGAGGCAGUGGGGGGCGAAGCCAAGAAUGGGGUGGCAAUCUACAGAGGCGGGGAUCGUUCACACUGCCAUGUACAUUGAGUCAGAAGACAGUUGAUUAGGUUUCGAAGGAUAUAUCAAAAGAGUCUGGUGUCAGGAAGGAUGGGAGUGGUAUCGUAUAUUUUUAGGAGAAAUCGUGCUUUGGAGAAGGAUGUAGAAAGGAAUCAAAAGAAAAUGAUAAAAAACAGAGAGUCAGUUACAAGAUUAAGGGAUUGAAAGUAGGUAAAUAUCUCAAAGUUUUUGUUUAUAUUUUCAAAUUUUUUAUGGCAUGUAUGUGACUAUUUUCAUUAUCACGUGUCAAAAUAGUGGACUUAUGAAUCGUAAAUACAAUGUUUAACGGAAAAUCUAAUCAAAUGCUCGGAAAAUCCAUUCUUAGAAAUUUGCCAUCUCUCUAAUUAUGUGGAGGUAAUUGAAGAUUCCAGACACUGAAAAAAUUUGUUGUUUCCAUGAAACUUAGAAUAAAAAUUGGACACAUGCAAGACUGCUGCUUAUUGAGAAAGAUAUCAGAUAAAUCUAAUUUCAGAGAAAAAGUUAAGAAAAUAAGUAAAUCGACAGGUUAACUUUCAUCUACUUAUCCCUUUAAGGAUUUUGAUUAUCACUGACAUUAUGCUUUUAUCAUGUUGCAUAUGGCAAUCUAAUGUGUCAAACAGAUGAAUUCACGUCCUGAGAAGUUUAAAGCUUCCAUUUGCUACAAGAUAAUAUAGUAUGUGCUUUAAGAAACAAUAAUAGUUUGUUUUACUCCUGCAAUUGUUACACAAUGUUAACACGAUUCUUGUCGUAAAUUUUAAUUAAUCGGUCAAUUAUGUUAUUGUUUACAACGCAUAUUAACUUCCAUUAAACCAUUUUUUAUUUAGUGUUUUCCAGGCAUACUCUACUAUGGAGUUGAAAGCAGAAGUUGCAAAACUGAAGGAAGAAAACCAAGAAUUGCGGAAGAAACUGGGAAGCGUGAAUUUGACUAAUCUCCAUUUCCAUUUCUGUAACUUCUUAUUCUUAUUAAAUUAUAUCUGAUUUAUACCAUUUGGGUAUUCUAUUAUGUAGGCAGGAAUUAUGGAAUUGAUGAGGAAUCAGAUACCUGUCACCGUAAUCUUUCCCUUUAAAAAAAUUUAACUUACAGGUAUUUGGUGAAACCUGG
RNAcentral lists this long non-coding RNA (11342 nucleotides) under Olea europaea subsp. europaea. The record is from RNAcentral. Lineage: Eukaryota; Viridiplantae; Streptophyta; Magnoliopsida; Lamiales; Oleaceae.